Molecule: ribosomal RNA, 2496 nt
Filed under: Triticum aestivum (bread wheat)
Lineage: Eukaryota; Viridiplantae; Streptophyta; Magnoliopsida; Poales; Poaceae
Description: partial small subunit ribosomal RNA
Source: RNAcentral
AUGAUCUGCUUCCCAAAGCACAACCUUCUAGGUUUGAGGACAGCAAUGGGGGAGACUGCCGGAGAGCGCGCCCUGAGCCGUAUCCACAGCGUGAGGGAGCGCAUCGGCGAUUCCCUCUCCGCGCACACCAAUGAGCUUGUCGCCGUCUUCUCAAGGCUUGUUAACCAAGGAAAGGGGAUGCUGCAGCCCCAUCAGAUAACUGCUGAGUACAAUGCCGCGAUCCCAGAGGCCGAGCGUGAGAAGCUCAAGGACACCGCCUUUGAGGAUCUCCUAAGGGGCGCACAGGAGGCAAUUGUCAUCCCUCCAUGGGUUGCUCUCGCCAUCCGGCCAAGGCCCGGCGUCUGGGAGUAUGUGAGGGUCAAUGUGAGCGAGCUUGGUGUUGAGGAGUUAAGCAUCGCUGAGUAUUUGCAGUUCAAGGAACAACUGGCGAAUGGAAGCAUCGAUAACAACUUUGUGCUUGAGCUGGACUUUGAGCCAUUCAACGCCUCCUUCCCUCGCCCAUCGCUGUCGAAGUCCAUUGGCAACGGUGUGCAGUUUCUGAACAGGCACUUGUCAUCGAAGCUGUUCCAUGACAAGGAGAGCAUGUACCCAUUGCUCAACUUCCUUCGCGCGCACAACUACAAGGGGAUGACCAUGAUGUUGAACGACAGAAUUCGGAGUCUCAGUACCCUCCAAGGUGCACUCAGGAAGGCAGAGACACAUCUGUCAGGCCUUCCAGCUGACACCCCUUACUCGGAGUUCCACCACCGGUUCCAGGAACUUGGUCUGGAGAAAGGUUGGGGCGACUGUGCUCAGCGUGCGAGUGAGACUAUCCACCUUCUCUUGGACCUUCUCGAGGCCCCUGAUCCAUCCUCCUUGGAGAAGUUCCUCGGAACAAUCCCAAUGGUGUUCAAUGUUGUUAUCCUCUCUCCUCAUGGUUACUUUGCUCAGGCCAAUGUCUUGGGGUACCCUGAUACUGGUGGACAGAUUGUCUACAUUUUGGACCAAGUCCGUGCUAUGGAGAAUGAGAUGCUGUUGAGAAUCAAGCAGCAAGGUCUUGACAUUACACCAAAGAUUCUAAUAGUCACCAGGUUGCUCCCUGAUGCACAUGGCACCACCUGUGGCCAGCGCCUUGAGAAGGUCCUUGGCACCGAGCACACCCACAUCCUGCGUGUGCCAUUCAAAACAGAAGAUGGUAUUGUUCGCAAAUGGAUCUCCCGCUUUGAAGUCUGGCCUUACCUGGAAGCUUACACUGAUGAUGUGGCACACGAGAUCGCCGGAGAGCUGCAGGCCACUCCUGACCUGAUCAUUGGAAACUACAGUGAUGGCAACCUAGUCGCGUGUUUGUUGGCUCACAAGUUGGGAGUUACUCAUUGUACCAUUGCGCAUGCACUCGAGAAAACCAAGUAUCCCAACUCCGACCUUUACUGGAAGAAAUUUGAGGAUCACUACCACUUCUCCUGCCAGUUCACAGCUGACCUGAUUGCAAUGAAUCAUGCUGACUUCAUCAUCACCAGUACUUUCCAAGAGAUUGCCGGAAACAAGGACACCGUAGGGCAGUACGAGUCGCACAUGGCAUUCACAAUGCCAGGCCUCUAUCGUGUUGUCCAUGGUAUUGAUGUCUUCGACCCCAAGUUCAACAUCGUCUCCCCUGGUGCUGACAUGUCCAUCUACUUCCCAUACACUGAACAGCAGAAGAGGCUUACCUCCCUCCAUACUGAGAUUGAGGAGCUACUCUUCAGUGAUGUUGAGAAUGCUGAGCACAAAUUUGUGCUGAAGGACAAGAAGAAGCCGAUCAUCUUCUCGAUGGCUAGGCUGGACCGUGUCAAGAAUAUGACUGGCCUGGUAGAAAUGUAUGGGCGGAAUCCUCGCCUACAGGAGCUGGUAAACCUGGUGGUUGUUUGUGGUGACCAUGGAAAGGUGUCCAAGGACAAGGAGGAGCAGGCAGAGUUCAAAAAGAUGUUUGAUCUUAUCGAACAGUACAACCUGAUUGGUCACAUCCGCUGGAUCUCUGCUCAGAUGAACCGUGUCCGCAAUGGUGAGCUCUACCGCUACAUCUGCGACAUGAAGGGAGCCUUUGUGCAGCCUGCUUUCUAUGAGGCUUUCGGUCUUACCGUGAUAGAGGCCAUGACAUGUGGCCUUCCAACAUUCGCCACUGCAUAUGGUGGUCCAGCUGAGAUCAUUGUGCACGGUGUGUCCGGCUACCACAUCGAUCCUUACCAGAAUGACAAGGCCUCCGCACUGCUUGUGGACUUCUUUGGGAAGUGCCAGGAAGACCCGAGCCACUGGAACAAGAUCUCGCAGGGAGGACUCCAGCGCAUCGAGGAGAAGUACACCUGGAAGCUGUACUCUGAGAGGCUGAUGACCCUUUCUGGUGUCUAUGGUUUCUGGAAGUAUGUCUCCAACCUCGACAGGCGCGAGACUCGUCGCUACCUUGAAAUGCUCUACGCCCUCAAGUACCGCAAAAUGGCUGCAACUGUCCCAUUGGCUGUUGAGGGCGAGACCUCGGGCAAAUGA